UUGACCUCGAAUCAGGUAGGGAUACCCGCUGAACUUAAGCAUAUCAAUAAGCGGAGGA
Molecule: ribosomal RNA, 58 nt
Filed under: Blumeria graminis
Lineage: Eukaryota; Fungi; Ascomycota; Leotiomycetes; Helotiales; Erysiphaceae
Also listed under: 26 other names
Description: partial 28S ribosomal RNA
Rfam family: Eukaryotic large subunit ribosomal RNA
Source: RNAcentral